This 508-nucleotide ribosomal RNA is filed under the name uncultured bacterium. Its description in RNAcentral is "partial 16S ribosomal RNA". It matches the Rfam family "Bacterial small subunit ribosomal RNA", at positions 30 to 523 of the family's 1533-position model. The record is from RNAcentral.
AUUGAACGCUGGCGGCAUGCCUUACACAUGCAAGUCGAACGGCAGCGGGGGAGAAGCUUGCUUUUCCUGCCGGCGAGUGGCGAACGGGUGAGUAAUACAUCGGAACGCGCCCUUUAGUGGGGGAUAACUAGUCGAAAGAUUAGCUAAUACCGCAUACGACCUGAGGGUGAAAGUGGGGGAACGCAAGGCCUCUUGGUAUAGGGACGGCCGAUGUCUGAUUAGCUAGUUGGUGGGGUAAAGGCCUAACAAGGCGACGAUCAGUAGCUGGUCUGAGAGGACGAUCAGCCACACUGGGACUGAGACACGGCCCAGACUCCUACGGGAGGCAGCAGUGGGGAAUUUUGGACAAUGGGCGAAAGCCUGAUCCAGCAAUGCCGCGUGUGUGAAGAAGGCCUUCGGGUUGUAAAGCACUUUCGUCCGGAAAGAAAUGGCUCUGGUUAAUACCUGGGGUCGAUGACGGUACCGGAAGAAUAAGGACCGGCUAACUACGUGCCAGCCGCCGCGGUAA